Molecule: non-coding RNA, 95 nt
Organism: Arabis alpina (gray rockcress)
Lineage: Eukaryota; Viridiplantae; Streptophyta; Magnoliopsida; Brassicales; Brassicaceae
Source: Rfam
AGCAAUGAUGAAUAAUGCUUAAUAUUUCUGACACCUCUUGUAUGAGAAGAGCUUGCUAAACUCUUCGUUGAGCAUAUUAUGCAAAUCUCUGAGCC